This is a long non-coding RNA of Megalobrama amblycephala (Wuchang bream), 2367 nucleotides long. RefSeq lists it as uncharacterized. Lineage: Eukaryota; Metazoa; Chordata; Actinopteri; Cypriniformes; Xenocyprididae. The transcript is spliced from 8 exons. The record is from RefSeq and is a predicted model, not a curated record.
CAAUAACAGAUUUUUUUCUCAAAUCAUCUCAUUUUGAUUAUUUGAGCUGCGCGCUGAAUGAACAUCCGUAAAAUGAAGCGCUUUAAGUUAAUUAACUCAAAGGAACACAUCCUAUAUAGGGUAAUUCAUAUAUAUUUAUACAAGAUAGACAUAAAAUUACAACUUAUAUUUGCACAAAAUCAUGCACGCAUGUACUUGAACUAAGUAAUGUACCCAGCAAACACAGUACGUUGUGACGACGUCGUCAGUUAGUCGUCAUUUGGUCAGCGUGACAUUACUUUAUGACAAUGUUGUGAGGACGUCGUGGUAAUGUUCCAUUUUUUAGAAUCUUGGCUAACGUUCCAGAAACGUCGCGGGCACGUCCUCAAAAGACGUCGCUGGUUAAUACCACGGAGAACGUUGUAACGACGUGGUCCACAGGUCUCCUGAUAACUUUCCAGAUAUUGCAUUAAGCCAACAUUAUGUUUGUUAAUAUGGCAUUUGGAUAUUAUGAGUAAAUUUAAUUGAUUCACGCUUUUUAAACGAAUCGACAUAGUUUUAUUUAUAUUUGAGAUAUACCUAAUAGCCUACCUAUUCAUAAAAAUUUGCCAGCAAAACUACCUAACAUUUACUUAAUAAAUUGUGAUUAUUCAUAUGUUUGUGAACAAGAGGUUUACUGAAUGACAACGUUGUGAGGACGUCGUGGUAAAGUUAUUUUUUUUUUUAAGAAUCUUGGCUAACGUUCCAGAAACGUCGCGGGCACGUCCUCAAAAGACGUCGCUGGUUAAUCCCACGGAGAGCGUUGUAGCGACGUGGUCCAUUGGUCUCCUGAUAACUAAUAAUACAUAAUACAAUGGGAAUGUACAACAUGAAUACAUUUUCCAAACCGUGUUUUUGUUGUACCCUGAAUCAUUAUGGUACACCUAGAUAAGUGUUUAUAUUCGGACUAUUUUAGACCAGUCUGGUAGGAACCGCUGCGGAGUAGCACAAAUACCUGCGUGAUUCGUCAUAGACAUAAACAGAGAGAAGUAGCUCCGGCUACAAUGUUCUUCCGCAAGAUGCAUGCCGUUCUGUUUAACCGUUAGAGCGCCAAAAGUUAUGGACAUGUUUAUAUAUUAUAUGUUGUGUUUGUGAAUGAAGGAGAUUUAUUGGAUGGGGCACGCGCGAGACAAAUUCGAAAUUUUAAAUGAGCAAGUCUAACGGACUUUCGGAUAAUCUUGAGUACUGCGCAUGCGCAUCAUUUUGUUCUGUAACGGUCGACUUCCAGCAGACGGACACGGAGUAAAAGCAGCUGGAGGAGAGACAGCCUGUGCAGCAACAACAAGACAACAAUGAUUAUAAGCAGGGACAACCUCCAGGUGGACUGCACGGGUCCAGGAUCAAGAUAUCAUUCAUCAUGCAGACCAUGUUCCAGGAGAAGCAGCAUAUACUGGGUCUGCUUGAUCAUUUUGUUGUCCUGGAUGUGAGAACAUGGUCAAAAGGUGUGUCAAUCAGCAUCCAGCCAUAAAAGCAGCCUUCUCGUUAAAGGGCUCAGGAGGACAAACAGAAAGAUGUAUUUUUGAGGAGGCUGCAACAACGACUAAAGCCAGGGACACACUUAACGACUGUAAGGCCGAUUAUAAAUAAACUAAUAAACUGAUCUUGCCCAAACACGUCGAGUCAGAGCCAGUUGCGUUCAGUCUGUUCAUAAUCUGUAAGUAUUUAAAUCCACUUCAGUCGAAGGAAACAGUUUUUAAGUGUGUUGAUUUCAGUCUUAGAAUGUUUCUUCUAGUCGUUCAGUGUGUCCCCAGCUUGAAGUAAUCGUUAAAAUCUGCCAGAGGAGGAUGAUGAUGGCAGUGGUGACCGAGGUGACAGUGCAGCUCAGGAUGAAGAAGAGGAGGAACAUUUUGUAAAAAUCCAAAGUGAAUAUAUAGAGACCAUUCUCCUAUCCUUGCCUCAGAAGAACCUGAGAAAGACCCUCUUCCUCUUCUCUCACAGCUCUCCAUCAUCUACCUCUACAACACUGUUGGCAAGAGUGUUAUACACAGCUGAGGACACGGUAAUGAGAGAUCUCAAAUUCUUCCUCAAAGUCCACAUGUUCAUUUUCUUGAACAAAAACUGUACAUGUAUUUUUGGGUGGGCCAAACUAUUAUUUGAAGAAAUGCUAAAAAUCUCUAUAUUAUUCUUUAUACAUAUCUUACUCUUUAUGACUGUCAUCUUCUGGAUUUUUUUUUAGCUUUUGAGAAGCUCAAGGACUGUAUAUCUUUGGUAAUUGUGAUAUUGUCUGGCAGUAAAGCAGUAUUAAAGCACAUUACCUCAGUAUAUUUGUAGCAGCUGCCUCAUACAGGACACUUAGGAAAUGGUUUAAUAUAUAUUUUUUGCAAAUAAAGUCAUAAAAUAUCUGCUGAA